GGGUGAGUUCGAAAGAAGUUCAUGAUAGGCUUGUUUAAGAGACUUAGGGUCAAUGAAAUGUACCUUAUACUCUUGGUCUAAUUCAGAUUCUUUAGAGGUUGUAUUCGCCAUCAGACUUAUGUUGGCUUCCUCUUCUUCUUCCUCAUCAGACGAGGUAUCAUCCAGAUCCUCCCAAGUACUCAUGAGUCAUUUCUUAUCCUUGGACUUGAAUUACUUCUUCUUGUCCUUGGAUUUUUCAAGAUAUGGACAUUCAG
This 254-nucleotide long non-coding RNA is filed under the name Glycine max (soybean). Its description in RNAcentral is "long non-coding RNA (GMAX_LNC004533)". Lineage: Eukaryota; Viridiplantae; Streptophyta; Magnoliopsida; Fabales; Fabaceae. The record is from RNAcentral.